AAGCUACCCUGGGGAUAACAGGCUUAUCUCCCCCAAGAGUCCACAUCGACGGGGAGGUUUGGCACCUCGAUGUCGGCUCAUCACAUCCUGGGGCUGUAGUAGGUCCCAAGGGUUGGGCUGUUCGCCCAUUAAAGUGGUACGCGAGCUGGGUUCAGAACGUCGUGAGACAGUUCGGUCCCUAUCCGUCGCAGGCGUAGGAAAUUUGAGAAGACCUGUCCUUAGUACGAGAGGACCGGGAUGGACGUACCUCUGGUGUACCAGUUGUCCUGCCAAGGGCAUGGCUGGGUAGCUAUGUACGGAAUGGAUAAGCGCUGAAAGCAUCUAAGCGCGAAGCCAACUUCAAGAUAAGAUUUCCCACCGCAAGGGUAAGACCCCAGAAAGACUAUCUGGUUGAUAGGUCGAAGGUGUAAGUGCAGCAAUGUAUUUAGCUUAUCGAUACUAAUAGGUCGAGGACUUGACCAAU
Molecule: ribosomal RNA, 463 nt
Filed under: Clostridioides difficile
Lineage: Bacteria; Bacillati; Bacillota; Clostridia; Peptostreptococcales; Peptostreptococcaceae
Description: partial 23S ribosomal RNA
Rfam family: Bacterial large subunit ribosomal RNA
Source: RNAcentral